GUGCUUUUGGGGGUGGGGGAGGCGUCCCUCCCUGGACCCCGGCAAAGCGGUGGUGAGGAAGGCUGGGAGGUGAGGGGCAGGAGACUGAAGCCAACCUCGUACUGAAGAGCAGCUGUCAUUGCAGGGGAGGAGCCCCAGCCCCGCGACGAGGAGGAAGCGGAGCUGGAGCUGCUGAGGCAGUUUGACCUGGCCUGGCAGUACGGGCCCUGCACCGGGAUCACACGGCUGCAGCGCUGGUGUCGGGCCAAGCAGAUGGGCUUGGAGCCUCCCCCAGAGGUGUGGCAGGUGCUGAAGACCCACCCCGGAGACCCCCGCUUCCAGUGCAGGUCAGAGACAGGCCGGGAGGGCUUUCAGGGGAGCCAGGGCCUUCUCCAGGCACUGUCACCCUGCUGUCCUGACCUGAGGGAGAAAUGGAUGGAGGGUUGGAAGGCCUUGCUGAACAGGCAAGAAGAUUCUAUGAGGUGCCUGGCUCAGGAGGACACGCCACUAUAAUAAUUCUUUUUUUUUGAGACAGAGUCUUGCUCUGUUGCCCAGGCUGGAGUGCAGUGGCGCGAUCUC
RNAcentral lists this long non-coding RNA (558 nucleotides) under Homo sapiens (human). RNAcentral's name for it is "non-protein coding lnc-POLD4-1:5". Lineage: Eukaryota; Metazoa; Chordata; Mammalia; Primates; Hominidae. The record is from RNAcentral.